GGGGCGGUAGCUCAGUUGGUUAGAGCCGCGGACUCAUAAUCCGUUGGUCGCGGGUCUAACCAACUGAGCUACCGCCCCC
This 79-nucleotide transfer RNA is filed under the name Mycobacterium sp. RNAcentral's name for it is "tRNA-Met". It matches the Rfam family "tRNA", at positions 1 to 61 of the family's 71-position model. From Rfam's summary of the family: Transfer RNA (tRNA) molecules are approximately 80 nucleotides in length. Their secondary structure includes four short double-helical elements and three loops (D, anti-codon, and T loops). Lineage: Bacteria; Bacillati; Actinomycetota; Actinomycetes; Mycobacteriales; Mycobacteriaceae. The record is from RNAcentral.